UAACGUACAAAUACUCGUUCUCAUGUGGGGCCUGGAUCUGCACAUGUGUCCCGUCUAUGCAGCCCACGAUCCCAGGCAUACCGGACGCCUGGCGGAACCGUUCCUUCAUCGCCGCCGCCUCUUCCUCGUUCGUGAGGUGGACGUAACGAGCGAUGCGGCGGCUCAAAGCCAGGGAAACCCUCCGGAUUACCCGACAGGCGGUCGAUCUAUGGACCCUCACCAUGUCGCUUACAGUGUUCUGAAAAGCCCCGUUUGCGAAAAAACGAAGCACAAUCAGCAGUUGCAAGGACGGUGGUAGCGCUGCAUUGCGGUCCGACACGAACUGUAAAUCCGGUGACAGCUCUUCUAUUAAUUCAAACAGAUCUCUCCUACAGAAUCGAAACCUCUCAAUCAGCUCCUCGUCAUUAUAAAUGUCCAAUGGAUUGCUUCUGUCCCUAAUUACCCUUUCCCGUCUAAAUGCCCGCUCGUUGUACACCCUAUGGAUAAUACGUGCCAUAUUAGCGCUGGAUGGAUUGAUUGUAACGUUUUUUUUAUUAUUGUAAUUGCUAUGGAAACGGCAGAAAUUUCGACUCUACGCCUCCCCCUGACCAGGCGUAGGAUUUACGCCUUGGUCUUAGUGAAAAGAACGCUAAGCCCAGUUGGUGCAACCGGCGUAACGGUUAGGUUGGACUUAGAACGCCAAGUUACGACCAGGCGUAGUUACGACCAGGCUUACGCCCAGUUGGUGCAACCGGCCCCAGACCUGACAAUGACAACUUAUUGAUAUGAUGGGAGAUGAAGUGAGUAUAUAGCCGUUUAUUGUUUGUUCCUUUCUGAAUGUGGUAAAUAUGCAGGCAUAGCCUCUGUUUAAUGGUAGCUCCUGUUUCGCCCACAUAGAUACUCCUGCAUGGUCUGCACUGGAUGGCGUAGACGACGUUGCAGGAGAGUAGUGUGAAGGUCUGCGAGAUGGGGACACCGGCUCGAGAGUUAUAGAUAUACUUCAGGUUAGAGAAAUAGGGGUCAAAGGUUGUGCGUAUUUCCUUGUUAAGUGCCGUAUGGACUAAAAUGUCCUGUAGGUUUUUAUUACGGCGGUAGGACAUUAGUAUUUUAAAAGAAGCGAGUGGGGCAGUUUGAGGUAUGGCAGAAUUAAAAAGUUGCUUAAUAGCUUGCUUGAGGGGGCCUAGUUGUCGCGAGAAUGUAGUAAUUAAUGGAAUUAAAUUUUGCUCUGUGUUCUUUUUUUUCAGGGAGAACGGGCCGGUCUGGCUGGAAGAGGGCGGUCACUUCCCCUUUAAUAGUCAGAAGAAAACGUUUGGAAUAGCCGCGGGGUCUAAGGGCCUUGAAAAGGGUCCUGGUGGCCUCCUCUACGUGAGGGGGUAGAGAACAGAUGCAGUGGAAACUGAUUAGUUGGGACUUGAUGAUGGAGCUGAAAGUAUGCCGGGGAUGGUAGCUGGUGUUAAAUACUAAGGAAUGUCUGUCAGUGUCUUUAAAAUAAACCUUGGUUGCUAAUGUUUUGUGUCCAUCCUUCGUGUCGGUGAAGAAAACGACUGUCUAGGAAGGGGACCUGCUGGAGAUGGAGAGUGUGUUUAAGUUUGAUACGGGGGUGGUGUGAGUUAAGGAUCUGUAUAAAAUGGUUAAAUUCCGUUUCUGAUUUGUCCCAGAGGCCAAAGAUAUCGUCUAAGUAACGGAAAUAGACUAGGGGGCGUGACGGGCAUUUAAGGAAUGCAGAUUCCUCCCAGUCUGCCAGAUAGAUGUCCGCGUAAGCCGGUGAAUAUUUCCUUCCCAUUGCGCAGCCGCAUAUUUGUAAAAAUAAGUAUUUAUCAAAUAAAAAGUUGUUGCGGGUAAGGGUAAUUUCUAAAAACUUUAAAAUAAAUGUGUCGGGACGAGAUGAAUCCGGUGACGGAAGACAAUGCUUUCUUCACAGCCUCGUGGCCCAGGACAGUGUCGAUGUUCGUGUACAAGGAGUCAACGUCGAUUGAAAAGAUAAACGUGUUAUCAGGGACGGUGAGAUUCUUCAACUUGUUGACCAAGGUGUAUGUGUCCUUAAGGUAGCUCGGGUGAGUGUGGGAUAGGGGGUUAAUGUAAAAGUCUAUGAACUCCGCCAGGUGGUAUGAUUCGGAGCCACAGUUGCUAACUAUGGGGCGUCCUGGAGCAACCACGAAUGGAACAGUCCAAUUCUCUGGGGUUUUAUGUAUUUUGCAAAUUGUAAUACAGGAUCGUACUAAUUACAUUCUGGAGGCGACACGUCAACUUAAUGACCCGGUCUACUAUCGCCCUCUCACGGAUCCUAUGUACCUUGAGACUCAGACAAUGGUUAGGCUUUUAAUUGACCAGAUGAGGAAAAAGCAUCUCAUCAGCGCAAAACAGGCACACUACCUAUACGGCCCGGAUCUCCCUCGGGCGAGAUUAUUUUACCUUCUCCCCAAAAUACAUAAAAGAUAUUGAGGACGGAGGGGACGGCGCUGCGCCUGGUGGUCUGGCUAUAAAUCCAGCUGGCUUAGCCAGUCGUCCAGCAUAGACUUUGCUGUCUCUGGAGUCCAAUGAAUAUUGUCAUGGACAGUCUGGAAUUUAAGCGUCGACAGUGUGUUGAGAUAACCAGCACGUGAGUCAACGUCCUCGAUAUUCUCCCUCACAAAGUCAUUAAAAGACUUGACACAACGGAGUUGGGUGGCGGAUAGCCUGAUAGAUACAGUUAUGAGGGGAAUUGCAAUGCGAGCCUGGGGGAAUGUUUCUCUGGCCGUCCUAAUUAAACGUCGGGUGUCCUUAAUUAUUGUGAUAGCUGUCUGUUGUCUAAGGAAGUUGUUUAUGCCGAUAGACAUUAAGAUGAGCUGGGUGAUUCUCCGAAUCCGGUGCCUUUUGUGUUCCACAGGUUUACGUCAAAGAUUUAAACACAAAAUAAACCACAAAAUGCAUUUUGAAACAAGAUAUGGAAAGAUCCAUGUGUCUUUGCAUUGUAAAACAAACAUAUUUUUUAAAUUAUGUUUUGAAAAACAUUAUGGGUUGCUGAAGUAUCGUGGUCAGCCAAAUGAGCAUGUCCCCACUAACCAAAGUUACUUUUUCAUUGAAUGUAAAACAAAUAAAAAUAGCCAGCAACAGCAAGAUUUUUCUGCUAAUAUAAUCAUUUGCCGGUCUACUUUAACCUAAACAAAAGAAAUAUGAGAAAAAUACAUGAAUUAUUUAUAAAUUUGCACUAUUUAAUCAUGUCCCCUAGUUUUGUUCAACCCCGUAACAGCAUACCAAUCCCCCCCCUUUUUUAAAUAAUGGUUCAGUCCAACUUCCGAAGCACCCAGGAAGUGACAUCACACAAGUCUUUUCCCGCUCACAACGUAAAGAGAGGUAAGUGUGUGCAUGCUUUCUUACCUAUAUUUGAUCGUUUUUAUCAUCAGACUGACAUCGUCAAGCUCAACCUUUCAGCACUGUUACAUGCAUAACUGAUAUAUACUAUUAUUUGGGGGAAAGCAAACAAUUGUCUUGGGAAAAUAUAUUAUUUUUUGUUUCCCUCAUGCCAUAGCUGCUCCAUAACCUCUAGCUAAUGUGGACUUGUGGCUACAUUAAGCUAAAAUCUUCAACCCCGUAACAUUCAACCCCGUAACAAAAAACACUGUUACGGGGUUGAAUCAUUGUUACAGGGUUGAAGGUUGGACUGUUCUUAGGCCAGCCAGCCAGCCUAUAUCUGUUAAUUCAUGUUCAUUACUUUCAGAUGGCUAAAUCAAAUGCUGAGAGGCAAAGGGAAUACAGGGCGAGAAGAAACGCCGUUUCAGAGAGAAGGGAAGACUACCUAAGGAAAGAGAGAGAGAGAUGGAAAAGAGAUACAGACGCAGGGAAAAAGAAAGCAAUCAGUGACCUGAGUGAGAGAGGUCAAAGAGUGGAGAGUGGUGGGUUGUAUAAAGUCAAGGGGUAGACUACAUACUUCAUGUAAUAUUGACAUACAGACAGACAGACGGACAACACAUACAUACACAUAGAAAGCCAUGGUGGUCAAUUAUUGCACCCUAAUGUCCUAGUGUAUCUAAUUGCUAUGUCACUACUAAUGUAAAACUAACGAUCCCCUUUCCAUGUGUUUCAUCUUAGUCAUUCAGCAGGCAAGAAAGCAUCCAGAAAAACAAGAGACAAACUGCGCAAAGAAAACGAAGAACUAAAAAGGAAACUCAAACAUCAGAAGAAGCAGAAAGAAAAAUACAAGAAAAGACUCCAGCGAGCAACCAAGAAUAAAGACUCUCCCAGGUGCAAAGUCUGUCAGUUGCUGAGGAAUUGUACUGUGAACAGCAAGGUGAGGAGAACUUUACUGCACCACAAAGCCUUAAUUUCGGAUAUUAGGUGGAAAUACAAGAAUGCGCGAAAGGAACAAGGAAAGAAAACGGUUUCUGAAGUUGUUGUUGGGAAGAUUGUUAAAAAAUACAGGCUGCAGAGGUGGUCUGAGACCGCACUAGGCUUCUCAAAGAAACGCAUAACCUUGAGUGAGAGAAAAGCAGGUACACUGAUAAAUCUCUGGUGAGCAAGGUGAGGGCAUUCUUCUCAAGAGAUGAUGCAAGUCGGAUGACGACAGGGAAAAAGCAAACAAUAACAAAGAAAAAAAUGAAAAUGCAAAAACGAUUCCUUGUAGACACGAUGAAAAACCUCCACAGGAAGUUUCUGGCAGAAAACAACACCAGCCACAUUUCCUAUGCCUCAUUUUAACGGCUGCGACCCUUUUGGGUUGUCCACCCCUCCCUUUCAGACCGUGACACAUGCCAGUGCAGGUUACAUGAAAACCUAGACUUUCUGGCUGACAAGCUUUGUCAGCCUAAAGUUAUUGGAACUUCAAAUUUAGAGAGCCUCACAGAACUUGUCUGCUGUGACAUUGGCAGCAAGACCUGCAUGUAUGGAGAAUGUGAAGACUGCAAGAGCAGAAAUGUUACCCUCUCAAACUCGUAUGAUGGUGCACAGAAGGUGACCUAUAUGCAGUGGGCCACAGAAGACAAAGCAAAAUCAAAUGAUGAGAGCUCGGUCGCAAAAAUAACAGUAAAACAAACCAUUGAGAGCAGUCAAGAGGAGCUUGUAGAGAGGUUCCAUACACACCUCACUAAGUUCAAGAGGCAUCUCUUCAAUAUCAGGCAACAGUAUGCCUAUUACCGUGGACUGCGCAGCUGCAUGGCCAAUGAUGAAUGCCUUAUCCACAUUGACUUCUCUGAGAACUUUUCUUGUAAGUGUUACGUAUUUUAAGAAUCUAAGCUACCCACACAUAGACCCAAUGAAGAUGGACCAAACAUAUAAGCCGUAAUUACUAUACAUAGCCACAAGGGGAGCAAGACCUUAUUGGAGGCUGCUCCAGCCACAGAUAGCAGUGCUUUUAUAUAUACGAAGAAGCCGAAGCCAGUACGGCACCCCGGCCACGCCCACUAGGCCACGCCCACUUGACGGUCUCUUACCUGUGCACCCAGUGUGAAGAGACCAGAGAUUUUCAGCGACACCCGCGAAGGGUCACGGGCCUCUGCCCGUGGCCCAUAGUAGCCAGAGUUAUUAUCUCUCACACGUGUUCUACACGAUUCCUAGAAUUCCCUCCGUAUAGCUUCACUUACCAUGCCGAAACAUGCCGACGACUUUAUAAUAAAUGAAGUGAGUUUAAAGCAACCCGGGAUUGGACAACUUUCUUCGAGAAUAUGCAAUAUAAGUACAGUACUGAAAUUCAGUCAGUACACUUUGGAUCAUCACACCAACAGGCCACACUGCACACAGGGGUCAUCUAUGUUGGUGGAACUCAAGAGCCAACCUGCUUUACCUCCAUCUCACCAUCCAAGCACAAGAGUCCAGCAGCCAUAUGGGAACAUUUGAAACCUGUACUGGACUAUGUACAGACCACACAUCCAGAGGUUUCUGUUGUGCACAUGUUUAGUGAUGGACCCUGUACAGAGAAAAAGGAAACUUUUUUUCUUUUCAGUACAGAGCUUGACAAGAGAGGACUGAGAGGGACCUGGAAUUUUUUCGAGUCCAGUCACGGCAAAGGAGCACCAGAUGGUGUAGGUGCUGCCUUAAAGAGAUCAGCAGACAACCUCAUCAGCCAUGGCCGGGACAUCAUCAAUGCUUAUGAGCUAUUCAAGGCCCUCUCCGAGACGGACACCUCAAUCAAAUUGUAUUUUAUCGAAAAUGAAGCUGUUGAGCAGGCACUGCAAAGGAUGCCGUCCACCAUUCCACCAGUCCCAGGAACCAUGCGCAUCCAUCAGGUCAUCACUCUUGCUCGAGGGGAGAUAACAUAUCGAGAUGUCAGCUGCAUGUGCUCCACCAAUGGAAAGCUUGAAUGUGAAUGCUGGAAUACAAAGCAUUUCAGCUUUGUCAGCAAAAUCCCAGCUACUGUGUCACCAGCUACUGUGUCCCAAGGGCAGAAACCAAUCAAUUGUGAUGAUCCUGGGGUAAUAGGGGAGUGGUGCGUGCUCACCUACGACAAGGCAUUGUACCCGGGGAUAAUCCUUGCCACAGAUGAAAAGAACGUACAAGUCAAAUGCAUGCACCAUGCUGGAAGAACCAAAAACAGGUUAUUUUGGCCUGUACAAGAGGAUGUGCUGUGGUAUGCAUUUGACGAUGUGCUUCAGCUCAUCCCACCUCCUCAGCCCGUGACAGGACGUGAUUCACGUCACAUGCACAUUCAGAAAGAGAUCUGGGACAGACUGCUUGACUGAAGGAUGAAAUGUUAAUAAAAAUUGUAAUUGUAUAGUGAUUGUAAUGUUUAUUAAAAAAAAGCAAAAUUAUUUGAAUGUUAACAAUACAUUUAUUGUUAAGAGCGUAACUGUGAGUAUGUUACAAACUGAUUCCUGAUUAAACUGAUACAGCGUUCAGCCCAGUCAUUCUUCAUUUUUGUCCUCUCAUAGGACAGAUUAUUUUCAAACAAUGUAAAAUAUUACAUACUUAAUGUUAUGUUUCUCUCCUGUUCAUUUUAAUUAAUUAAUUAAAGUCCAUUUCAGUUUGAUUAAAUGUUGUGUCAUUCAUUCAACCCUGUUACAGUGUGUUCAACUCUGUUACAGUGUGUUCAACCCUGUUACUUGAUAUAUUUUCAUAUAUUUUUGGAAAAUAAUGACAAAUAUUAGAUAAAUGUUUGUUGAACUGUAUGCAAAGUUUGGAGGACAAGUAGAAAAUAUAGGAAAGUCGUAUCUAAUGUUUAUGUUAAAGUAUAUUUUCAGGAUUUAUGAAGACCGCUUGUACAGUAAGUUGCCAUAUCCUACUUGAAAGUUAAAUUAUCAUUAUUUAGAUAUUAUAAAAUAUACUUACAAAAAGUCAUUCUACACAAGGGACAGGUGAUUUACCUUGAUACUGGAAGAAUUAGUUUGAAUAUGUUUUAAAUUAUACUCAUACAGGAAUCAAAUUGUCCUGUUACGGGGUUGAAUUUAUAACAAUCUAAGUGCCAAAGAAACUCCUAAUAAUGUUUGGGAUUUCAUGCCGAAGGUGGGAAAAUGUAUUUUCACAGAGGUUCAAAUAGUCCUUCAUCAGAUGCAAUGUUCAGAAACCCAAUUUUCUGUGGUAUAUUUGUCAGUAACCAGAGAACCCCCCCAGCUAUCUAUCUGGUUGUCGUCCAUUUUUCUUUUUGGGAUGCGGGCCAAGUUGGAAUCGCCCGUGAUAAUCAUGUGUUUUCUAAUAGGCAGGGACCACAUAGUGGCUUUGCGGUUCGUAGGGGGGUGUAUGCAGGGCUGGUGGUAGGAAGCACUGAGCAUAGGGGAAGAGAAAAGGGAAGGAGAAGUCGGGGUUUGGCGCCGCGACUCGGACCUUUCCCCACUGGGACAAGGGCAACAACAGCAGGAGUGGUCAGAGGAGGCGUGAGAGGGCAAGGGUGAAUCUCCACGCAACCUGUGAGUGAGUCAGAGUUCUGAAUUGGGCCAUUCUUAGUGAUGAUUAUCUUGUUCCUUGUCAUGGAAGGUAACACCGUCUGACCAGGUGGUGGAGUGGUCAGCGCCGGCGAGGAGGACGACAGACAGUCGCUUCCGGGUCGCGGCACUUGCGAGGGAGAGACGGUUGGGUCUAGGGGCUGAGGAAGCGGGAAUGGUGACUGGGGGCUCCGGGUCCGGCGUGGGAGAUCCAAGGCUCGUCUCCACGACGCAAGGAGGGUCAAUGACUGCCGAGGUGGUCCGCACCGGUGGGACGACCGGUGGAGGAUGUGGCCUGGUCACUGGUAAGCGCUGUGGGCGUUCUGGUAGCGGGACGCGGGUAGGUCGCGGUGUUUGAGGGGCAGAUGUAGGAAAACGUCCGGUUAUGUUAGGGCAUAGAGUUGGAAGGGUAAGAAGGGAAGGAAUAGUUAGUGGCCUGGACGAUAGCAUUAAGGUGUUUCGAUGCUUGAAAGGUGCCAUAGUGGACUGUGGUCGUCUGGGAAGCGGUGGAAAGGCCCCAAGGUCCGAGAGGAGCAGCGGAGUGGCAGGCGGUGGCGGAUCCGGGGCCGACAGCAGCAGCCGUAGUGCGGAGAUGGAAGACGGAGUAAGGCGUCUGCCAUAACGCUGGUGGGCCCACCGAAGGGCUCUGUCAAGGGCCUCAUUGUUAAAUGGCCCCAGACCAGAUCGUCAGGUGCCGCCGGUUUGAUGAAUGCUGUAAGUUGAGCCACUUUCCUAGCCAUCCCUAAUGGUGGGAUACCUGUUCUAAUAGAUUCUUCUAGAAUUUCUGUAUGGUGAAUUGAUUGUAAUAUUUGAAAAUAAUGUUUGAUUAAUUUCGGGUCUAGAUCGGUUGAAGGACUCGUCCCGACCGGAGUAAAUUUUAUGAGUUUCUGUGGGUCUGUAAGGUGAGUGGGCCUACCCAAUGGGCUAAACCUAUUUCUAAAAUCAUUAGCCAUUUCGUUAAAAGCUAAAAUGGAAUGAAAAUAAAAAAGGCCUAGGACUUUACAAAAAGAGGAGGGGGUUUGGGAGUUGGAGUUUAAAAAGAACCAACAUAGAGAAAAGAAGGAAAAGAUAAAAGAGAGAUGUAAAAUCAACUAAAUUAGAAUAAGAUUAAAACCAUAGCUUGUAAAAGAUGGAGAUUAAAACAAUAGAUGCAGUUAUAAUCAUAAGAUAAACAAAGAAUGUAAAAUAAUAAUAUCAUAACCGGUCAGCUGGUGCAAUGUCUUUUAGCUAGGAGGCAUGGUUAGCUUAGCAAGAAUAAAAUUGAUUUCCCCAAUCGGGACCGUCGAGUAGUCUUUAGCUGGGAGGUAGGCUGUGCUUGGGUUAGGAGACAGGAUGUCGUUGAUCCGCCCGAUGGGGUUGUAGAAUAUCCCAAAAACUGAUUACAGUCCAAAGAUAAAAAAAGCUGAACACGUAGAUGUCUCUGUACUCACCAGCCAAAAAAGCAUUUGAAGGAGAUUCGAUUAAAACCAAAGGGAAUGAGGUAAUUUCCACAGGUGUUAAAAAAGUAUAAAGUUUAAUCGCUCCGAAAUGCAGGUUGACCAAGUAAAAACAGACUUUGUUUAAAAGUAAGUUAAAACAAGCAAAGUAAAAUAAUUAAAAUAAGGUACAUCCAAGUUAAAAACUCCAAAGAUGCUAAAACAACAGUUCCCCAGAAUAACUGACUUUACAUCCACAGAAAUAGAGAGCGUUCCUAACGUUUCAGCCGGUUAGGCUUCGUCAG
Gadus chalcogrammus (walleye pollock) is the source of this 9525-nucleotide RNA transcript. RefSeq lists it as uncharacterized. Lineage: Eukaryota; Metazoa; Chordata; Actinopteri; Gadiformes; Gadidae. The transcript is spliced from 2 exons. The record is from RefSeq and is a predicted model, not a curated record.